Molecule: non-coding RNA, 880 nt
Organism: Onthophagus taurus
Lineage: Eukaryota; Metazoa; Arthropoda; Insecta; Coleoptera; Scarabaeidae
Source: RefSeq, a predicted model, not a curated record
ACUUCACCACUCAGAAAAAGUUCAAUCAACGAACCCGAUAAACUCAGUCCAGUGCAAGACAUCAAGUUAAAUGGGAUAACCACAAAAUAGUCGUUAAAACAUCCAUCAAAUUAAAUAAAAUAAUUUAAGUUUUCGUGUUAUUAACUAAAAAAAUCGUUAUUAAAACCUAAAAGAACUAAUAAUGUCGAUAUCUACAGAACAAGAAACGAAAACAAAUUUAUCGCCAAAAAAGAAACAAUUCAACCGAAAUCCAUCGCUCGAAAAAAUAAUUAAUUUUAACGCUUAUAUAUGUUCUCAAAACUUCUUUAUUUUACCCGCGUUAUUAACCUGGAUGAAAACUUCCCAAAGUAUUCUUCAAGUGUACUCGGAGAAAUGCACGAAUUUAGUUAAAAAUUUAAUUAAAUUAGAUUUUUUAACUAUAAUUCAAGAUCUUAACAAAAUGGGCAAAGAAACCAAACGAAAAUUGUUAGAAAUCGCGACUUAUACUUGUUUAUUUUUGGUGUUUCUACAAUUAACGACUUGUUUAAUUUUGUUGGGUAUCAACUCAAUGCCUGGAGGGUUAAUUUUCUUGCUCGUCUCAAUCUCUUACAUUUGUUACAUGAAUUAUUUGUGUUUACGAUUGAUCAUUUUAAAACAAAAAUACAAAGAUGAGCAGAAAAACUUUGAGAACGAAGCGACGACAAAGUACAUUAGGCCCAAAGACAUUUUGGGGAAAAGGACAAUAAGCAGUUUAAAUUUAUUUUAAUUUAUCUUAUUUAAAAAUGCAAUACUUAAGACUACUUUAUAAUUAAUUAUAUAUUGUUGUGAUAAACGACCUUUGUGUUUUUAUGUUGUAUAUUUAACUUAAUUUUUAAUAAAGAUGUCUUCUCAAAUCAAAAAA